This 254-nucleotide ribosomal RNA is filed under the name uncultured bacterium. RNAcentral describes it as "partial 16S ribosomal RNA". It matches the Rfam family "Bacterial small subunit ribosomal RNA", at positions 524 to 776 of the family's 1533-position model. The record is from RNAcentral.
UACGUAGGGUGCGAGCGUUGUCCGGAAUUAUUGGGCGUAAAGAGCUCGUAGGCGGUGUGUCGCGUCGGCCGUGAAAACCUGGGGCUUAACUCUGGGCGUGCGGUCGAUACGGGCAUCACUGGAGUUCGGCAGGGGAGACUGGAAUUCCUGGUGUAGCGGUGAAAUGCGCAGAUAUCAGGAGGAACACCGAUGGCGAAGGCAGGUCUCUGGGCCGAUACUGACGCUGAGGAGCGAAAGCGUGGGGAGCGAACAGG